CGCAUCUGUGCAUGCAGCAUAUCAAUAAGCGGAGGAAAAGAAACUAACAAGGAUUCCCCUAGUAACGGCGAGUGAAGCGGGAAGAGCUCAAAUUUGAAAUCUUAAAGGGUUUCCCUUUACGAAUUGUAGUUUAAAGAAGUGUUUUCUGUUCGAGGUUUUGGUAAAAGUUCUUUGGAAUAGGACAUCAUAGAGGGUGAGAAUCCCGUAUUUGACCUUUACUUUCAACUUUGUGAUACACUUUCAAAGAGUCGGAUUGUUUGGGAAUGCAGUCCAAAAUGGGUGGUAAAUUUCAUCUAAAGCUAAAUAUUGGCGAGAGACCGAUAGCGAACAAGUACCGUGAGGGAAAGAUGAAAAGAACUUUGAAAAGAGAGUUAAACAGUACGUGAAAUUGUCAAAAGGGAAGCGUUUGACACCAGUGUUGUUUUUCUGAAAAUCAAUUAAAGAACUGUUUAUGCUAAGCUGUUUAGACUUUAUCAGCUAACUGUUUAGUUUUGAGCUUUUCUUUAAUGCACUUUUCAGUUAACAAGUCAACAUCAAUUUCUUUUGCUGUAAAAAAGCUUGAGGAAGGUGGCUUGAGAUUCGUCUUAAGUGUUUAUAGCCUCUUGCCUAUGCAGUCGGAGAGAUUGAGGUCUGCAGCGUAGAUCCUUCGGGGCUAAAUGCAUUUGUGCUAAGUUAUAGCAUUUUAUAGACAACUUGUUGACUAUGAUUUGUCUUGUAGCUUACUCGCUUAUGUUAUUUUACCUACGCUUAGGAUGUUGAGUCAUCACACAUCUCU
This 775-nucleotide ribosomal RNA is filed under the name uncultured Neocallimastigales. Its description in RNAcentral is "partial large subunit ribosomal RNA". It matches the Rfam family "Eukaryotic large subunit ribosomal RNA", at positions 26 to 614 of the family's 3401-position model. The record is from RNAcentral. Lineage: Eukaryota; Fungi; Neocallimastigomycota; Neocallimastigomycetes; Neocallimastigales.